RNAcentral lists this ribosomal RNA (447 nucleotides) under uncultured bacterium. RNAcentral describes it as "bacterial SSU rRNA". It matches the Rfam family "Bacterial small subunit ribosomal RNA", at positions 335 to 795 of the family's 1533-position model. The record is from RNAcentral.
UGCCUACGGGAGGCUGCAGUGGGGAAUAUUGCACAAUGGGCGCAAGCCUGAUGCAGCGACGCCGCGUGAGGGAUGAAGGCCUUCGGGUUGUAAACCUCUUUCGUCAGGGAAGAAGCGUGAGUGACGGUACCUGAAGAAGAAGCACCGGCUAACUACGUGCCAGCAGCCGCGGUAAUACGUAGGGUGCGAGCGUUGUCCGGAAUUAUUGGGCGUAAAGAGCUUGUAGGCGGUUUGUCGCGUCUGCCGUGAAAACCUAGGGCUGAACUCUGGGCGUGCGGUGGGUACGGGCAGGCGAGAGUGUGGUAGGGGAGACUGGAAUUCCUGGUGUAGCGGUGAAAUGCGCAGAUAUCAGGAGGAACACCGAUGGCGAAGGCAGGUCUCUGGGCCAUAACUGACGCUGAGAAGCGAAAGCAUGGGGAGCGAACAGGAUUAGAUACCCGUGUAGUC